This 243-nucleotide ribosomal RNA is filed under the name uncultured Lactobacillus sp. Its description in RNAcentral is "partial 16S ribosomal RNA". It matches the Rfam family "Bacterial small subunit ribosomal RNA", at positions 116 to 353 of the family's 1533-position model. The record is from RNAcentral. Lineage: Bacteria; Bacillati; Bacillota; Bacilli; Lactobacillales; Lactobacillaceae.
CGUGGGUAACCUGCCCAAGAGAUCGGGAUAACACCUGGAAACAGAUGCUAAUACCGGAUAACAACAGAUGAUGCCUAUCAACUGUUUAAAAGAUGGUUCUGCUAUCACUCUUGGAUGGACCUGCGGUGCAUUAGCUAGUUGGUAGGGUAACGGCCUACCAAGGCGAUGAUGCAUAGCCGAGUUGAGAGACUGAUCGGCCACAUUGGGACUGAGACACGGCCCAAACUCCUACGGGAGGCAGCA